CGACCGCGGCCAUACCACAGGCCUAAUUUCCUUACCUUAUCCACACUGCCCCCUCAAUCGCUCUCCCUCAUCCGCCGCACUAGAAUCGACGUCGCCGCCGCUAACCCUAGCAGCAUCGUCGCCGACUCACCCUCGCCGCCCCGCCCAGCGCCGCAACCCCCAUCCUCUUCCUCACCCACGCCGUCGCCCCCGGGACCCCGGCCCCAUCGAUGCCUCAACCCAGCGCCGCCGCCCCUCCAUCCCGUACUCACGACGCCACCCAAUCCCCAUUGACGGCGCCCCACACCCGCACCUCCGACCAACGGGGCCGCCCAUCCACACAUCGACGCCGCAACCGCAUCCCCCACCCAGAAACACGACGCCGCCCCAUCUCGACGCUGCCAUCCCAUUCCCCAACCACGACGCCCCCAUCCGAUCUACUGCCCACAACACUGUCCCAAUCCCCACCAACGACAUCGGUCCCGCCGCCUGCUUCGCCUCCCACUGCAGCACGGCCUGACGCCACUGCGCCACAUCCCUGUCCAAAGAUUUGUUCUGUAGUGUUCAUGCUACCCAUCAACUGAAGCAGCAGCAGCAGCCUCAGACAAGCAGAUAGAGGCUGCCACUGAGCUCUGUUCUCCCUUCGUGCUCGGUCUUUACAGGCUGACAAGCCUAAACUGAAUUUUAUUGAGUUCUUGGUUGGCAAGUGAAGAAGCUGUAUCAAGCUGCAACCAUCAAUACUGGACAAGUGGCACUUGCAUAUUUUGGUGAUAUUCUUGAUCAUAACCAGGGGCGGAGCUACUAGGAGCCUCCCUAAUGCACAGGCAUUAGGGUCGAUGUUAAUUUCGUGAAGCGAUUGAGUAGAGCAUCAGGAUUGAUGUUCAUUUCUUGAAGCGAUUGGGUAGAGUUGUUUAGCCAUGCACCAGGUUAGGCUAACAGCGGUGCACCAGGUAGAGAGACAAUCCCACGGUGGCCUUGUUCGGAACUGGUUCAUGUGUGGCCAGGCCUAGGCGUAGCCUCGUGGGCUGUAGCCUUUUGGGCAGGUUAGUUGUGGGUGGGCAUCAAGGCGUCAAUGCCCUUACGUGCACCGGGUUGCCCCUUCUUCUAUUCUGAAGUUGAGAAUUCAGUUCAUUUAAUUAGACUUUAUCAGACAUGGAUAGCCGCAAGACGAGAGACAGGAGUCUUUGCGUAAAGUCUAAUAAUGUUGAAAUAAGCUGCUCUAGCGUCGUAUUUUCCCUCCUUUUUUGCAAUAAUUGUUCAUUCCCAAUUUUUUCAGAAACUAGUGCCAAUAUACUAAGUGUUAUUCAUAGAUAAUCCGAUUUUUGGCAAAAGUUUGAUUGAUUUCCUGAAAAGUUUAUACCUUCUAUUAUGUCUAAUAGUCUAUCUGCCUCAAAAUUACUUCAAAGCAUUUAUGUUCUGCUGUGCUUGGAGUUUGGUUUUUUGACCUGUUGUGGUAGCCAACUGUAGUUGUGCUGGUAGUUGUCCUGUAGGUGGCUGGUAGUUGUGUUGUGCUUGCUGUUAGGGAGCAUGGCAUCUGGGAGCCAAAUAUCAUUAGCCAAACCCAAAAUUUAGGAAGUAUAUGUUGUUUUCCUCUCAAAUAUCCAAAGUAGCACUACAGAAUAUUUAUUUUCAUAUGGCCCAUAUAACAAUGACUUUCCUGAUACAGAGUUCAUUCAAGAAAUGGGUUCUACAAGGGAUCCAUUCAAGUAUUUGCUGAAUUUGACAUGUGUUCAACAUGAAAAACAUGGAUAUAAGAUGAAUUUGUCUAUAGUAGAGAACAAAACAUUUUGUAUAGUUUCAGCCAAACCAUUUGACACUUGUGGUGUUAAAACUAAGCCGAAAAAAUACUAGUAGUCACAAAAAAAUGUUAGAAUUCAAGUUUCCCAUGGUAGACUAUGUUUAUUUUGGUUCUUAAGCUUAUUUCAAGUUUCAAAUGUUAGGAAACUUCUUCGGUCUCUAAUACUAGGCUAAUUUUGGUGUAUUUUUCAUGUUGCAGUGACAUGGGCCUCGAGGCAGUAUUCUGAUCAUUGAGCACUUGAAAAGGGAGACUACAAAUGGGGCAAUAUUCUGAUCUCAUCUCAGUUUCUCAUUAAUUUUGUGUCUUCAAAUUUGUAUUACAUGCCAUGUUUUUAAUCCCUGAAUGGUUGUUUCGCAAAAUGUCGUAUCCCAUGUCCCCGUAUAUGUAUCACUGUGUCUAUCAUGUCCGUGUCUCUAUAUCCAUGCUUUUUAGCUAAGAAUUGCCGUACUUUUGCUGUUCACUUACUCAAAAUUGGUGCUUGUGGAAGAUGGAGCUGGUAGUGCACUAACGAAUUGUACUACCCACCAAAUAUCAACCUGUACUGUAAUGUGUAUGGUUAGACUAAAACUGAAGCAUCCUUCCCUUUUGGAUCUUCAAUUCUGCUAUGAAUGAAUAUGCAGCAGCAACCCAUCUGAGAAAAAUGACACAUAUCCAUGCAAAUCACUAGCACCAAGUCGAGUGCACAUUCCAGUACAAUCUUAUCAGUAAAUGUUCUUGACAAAAUUUCUAUAGUCCUGAAAACGGUGGAAUACAGUAUUUUGUUGAGAAAAAAGUGCUAUCUUGUUUUUCUGUAGAGGGAUUUCACUCUUUGCUAUGUGACAGAUUAACAGUUGUGCUUGCUAUCUCCAAUGUUGACGUGGAAACUGCAGAAUCAUAUUUGCACACUGUGGAAAAAGCUGGGAUUGUGAUUGAUAUGCAGGUUAGAUAAUAAGGUAUAAGGCUCUUAUACGCUGCUGUAUAAGGUUGCGAUGAAUGUCCUUUUGGGGGCUCUCGUAGAAGAAAGUUAUAAUUUUCUCAUACACUGUUAUAUAAGGCUCUAUACACUGCAGAAUCUUUUGAUUUUAGUUUGAAUACCUUGUAAUUUGUUUCUAUCGUUGUAUGUUACCGUUUGGCUCUAUUUCGAAUACCUCAAAGAUUGCUUUGGCUAGUACUUAUUCUUUCAAGGCCUUAUUUAGUUUUGUAAAAAGUAUUGAUUUGUGUUGGCUUGUGAUAUUUAGGCAAGGAUUGAAAUUUAGUAGUACAAACAAACCGUGAUGCAGUGGCACGACAUGGUAGGUAGUUCUAAUACUAUGUAUGCAGAUCGAGGUUGUUCAUAAAGUUAUGCAGAAGCAACCAUGACAGUCGGUAGCAGUCCUUACAUCUAGAAGGUAUUACAUCUUUUUAGAAUUCUUGAAUAUUACACUAAUGAAAAGAUAUUUAUGUUUCCAUUAUUAAAUAGACAAGGCGUAUAAUGAACUAGCCCUUGCAAAAUUAGACCUUACAAUGGAUCCCUUAAUACCCAUUUGGAAUUACAAAUUUAGUUCUGAUCCCAAGGGCCAUUCUAUUGAAAAGCAAUCAUAGCUUGCCAUCUUAUCUGAAAAGCAAUCAUAGCAAGCACCGACACUCUGGGAGCUAGCAUCAUAUUUUCUCCUCUCACAUUCUGAAGACUAAUUAUUUUUCUGAGUCAAGCAUGUGUUUGAAAGUAGGAGCCUACAAGUUUCUUAUUUUCUCCUGAGCAACCAGUACUUUUUUGGUUUUCCUGGUAGAUUAAAAUUGUGCCUACUUUCAAACACAUGCUUAAGUACUUUUAUUCUGAAUCAACCAGCAGCUCUGUUUCUUAAACAAUUCUAUAGCUACUACUGAAACUUUGCACACAAUUUGGACAAACAUCAUGGAUUAAUAAGAGGGACCACACAACUAUUUGUUCAGCAAACCAACAUUCUUUUAUUUUGAGCAACCUAUAUUCAUUGGUAAAUAUUUAUAGCGAUAGGUUAAAUCGGCCUUUCUGAUGAUCCGUACAUAGUGCAUAAUCUAUUCUUGUGAGUACAUACACAUUCUGUUUGUGACUUGCGGAAUGCAAAUGUACAGGGUGACACACAUGUGUAUUUAUCAUUUGGAUGACUUCAUUUUCUUUUUCAGCCAUGCAACUUCUAUGUUUGGAACAUGUGUUCUUCCGAGAUGAUCUAUUUGGCCAUUUCCUUUUUUUACAGGUCACCAGUAUAAUGCCCCUUUGCAUCCACAAGUUUCUACAGGUGUGUUUGGUGAGCUAAAAAGGAUCUUCUGCUGGGAUAUGUUCUACCUAAAACCAGAUCUUAUAUUUUGCAUUUUUUCUUUUAUGUAAUACUUUGACUUACGAACCUACAAAUGUAUGCAUGUGUACAUGUAGACCUGAUAGAUGUCCUGUUACUGGACUUGUACACGUAGGCACACAUGAUGGAUUUUCGUGCUUUUGGCUGUCCUGGACUUAUGAACCUAUGUAUGGAUGAUAGAUUGCUUAUAUAUAUACACGCACACAUUAUCUAUUAA
Aegilops tauschii subsp. strangulata is the source of this 4282-nucleotide long non-coding RNA. RefSeq lists it as uncharacterized. The record is from RefSeq and is a predicted model, not a curated record. NCBI's taxonomy places the organism in Eukaryota, Viridiplantae, Streptophyta, Magnoliopsida, Poales, Poaceae.